This 118-nucleotide small RNA is filed under the name unclassified sequences. RNAcentral describes it as "LOOT RNA". It matches the Rfam family "LOOT RNA". From Rfam's summary of the family: Latescibacteria, OD1/Parcubacteria, OP11, TM7. Lineage (Microgenomates, aka OP11) The record is from Rfam by way of RNAcentral.
UGCCUAAACCUAUCGGAUAACCGUUGGCAUGGCAUCAAAUCUCAAGACAAUACUGAACCCCGUGUUCAGCUACUUGUCUUGAGUCAUGCAUCGAAAGGUGCGUGGGGCCGUAAGGCUC